Macadamia integrifolia is the source of this 929-nucleotide long non-coding RNA. RefSeq lists it as uncharacterized. The transcript is spliced from 2 exons. The record is from RefSeq and is a predicted model, not a curated record. NCBI's taxonomy places the organism in Eukaryota, Viridiplantae, Streptophyta, Magnoliopsida, Proteales, Proteaceae.
UGCAUAUCCCCAGCUUACCGUAAAGGAUAAUGUUCUCUAUGCCCAACUGCAAAGUGCACCCUCUCUCUAGCUAUCUUCUCCUCUUCACAUGAAGUGACCUCUCUACCCUCCAUGUAUACAUGAAACCAUUUCUUCACUCCUAGUUUAUGCCCUACCCUUAUACCACUUGAUGAUAAGAUAACCCUCUCCCUAUGAGGAAAUAAGAUCUGGGGUUACUUUUGGUAUGUAAAUUAGGCAUAAAAAAGGGUGAUCUGGUUGGGGUUCUAUAAAUAUUCCCUGAGAAGACCCCAGCUACAACAUUUUGCGUGGUCUGCCUGGCUGCGGUCUGUUUUAAUGCGCCUGCUGUGGACAUCGUCCUAACGUUUCUCAUUCUGUUCAACCAUGGUGAUGAUGGGUCUGGAGAGGUUGGUGGUGACUCUCAAGUCUAAACUCAGAUCACUAAAGACAAAGAAGCCAUAUGAUAAGAUAGAUAAGAGCGAAAGCAUGAGAGUAGAAAUAAGAAGCAGGAAAGCCCAAAAGCUCGUAGCAGAAACUCUAAAGAUUGCAGACUCACCAAGAAGAAAAAGCUAUGCCUUCUGAGACUUUUUUUCUAUCAAGGAUCGAGUUUUCCUAAGGCCACUCAUGAAGAGAGAGAAGGUCUCAUCCCUUCAAUCACGUGGUGAACCUCACGGCGCGAUCUAGGGAAACCUCUUCCUUUUAUGAAUAAAGUUGGACAUUGUAUAUAUGUAGGGAUCUUUUAUAUUUUUAAUGUUUGAAUUCCCAAUUUUUUUUUAUUUUUUUUUAUUUUUAUUUUUAUUAUUAUUAUUUUUUUUGUUAUGAAGAUCUUCUUCUACCUUUGUUCUUACAUAGUCUCUCACCCAAAAUCUCUUACAAUCUCAAGAUAUAUACUAAGGCCAUAUCUAGAUCUUACUGGUUUGCUAAUUUCCUCA